UACGUAGGUGGCAAGCGUUGUCCGGAAUUAUUGGGCGUAAAGCGCGCGCAGGCGGUCCUUUAAGUCUGAUGUGAAAGCCCACGGCUCAACCGUGGAGGGUCAUUGGAAACUGGGGGACUUGAGUGCAGGAGAGAAGAGUGGAAUUCCACGUGUAGCGGUGAAAUGCGUAGAGAUGUGGAGGAACACCAGUGGCGAAGGCGGCAUUCUGGACCGAUAUUGACGCUGAGGAGCGAAAGCCAGGGGAGCAAACGGG
RNAcentral lists this ribosomal RNA (253 nucleotides) under uncultured bacterium. Its description in RNAcentral is "partial 16S ribosomal RNA". It matches the Rfam family "Bacterial small subunit ribosomal RNA", at positions 524 to 776 of the family's 1533-position model. The record is from RNAcentral.